AACUAAUUGGAUGUGAAUUGGGAGGUGGUCGCUGCCUAUAAAGGGUCCUCGUUUCAAUUCUGCUGUGGCGGCUAGGUGAGGGGACAUUAUUGCGAGGUCUAUUGUGGUGAAUUUUAGUGUGCUGGGGCAUUGUCUUGUGCCAAGGUUGGGUGGAGUGGCUAACAUAAUAUUGUUUUCUUUUUCUAGGAGGUUGGCUAAUAUUCUUCCGCUGCGGUUGGGAUGGGUGCUUCUUGUGUCCCAUAGGCCAUGUCUUGCGUUGUAGUCGCCGCAGAAUAUGGUGUUGUUGCUGGUCAAUCUAUGCAAUUGGGUCAAUUCAUCCUCGUCGCACGCCUGGCCAUUUGGUCUGGCAGCUGAAGUUGUUUGAACUGGAGGGAUUAGUGAAUUAAUAUUGCCACGCCUCCUCCUACCUGGCCAACGCGAUUUUUAUUUACUGCAUAGUAUUGUUUGAAUUUUACGCUGAAUGAAUCUCUCCAGAACGUUUCGCAUAGUGUGACUAUGUGGGGUUUGUGAAGGUGCAAAUGUGCUUUGAAUUCUAUUAAAUUAGACUUUGUGAGA
Molecule: long non-coding RNA, 555 nt
Organism: Daphnia pulicaria
Lineage: Eukaryota; Metazoa; Arthropoda; Branchiopoda; Diplostraca; Daphniidae
Exons: 2
Source: RefSeq, a predicted model, not a curated record